CGGAUUGCAGGCUGCAACUCGCCUGCAUGAAGUCGGAAUUGCUAGUAAUCGCGGAUCAGAAUGCCGCGGUGAAUACGUUCCCGGGUCUUGUACACACCGCCCGUCACACCAUGGGAGUCGGAAAUGCCCGAAGCCGGUGACCUAACCUUUCAGGAAGGAGCCGUCGAAGGCAGGUCUGAUAACUGGGGUGAAGUCGUAACAAGGUAGC
This 208-nucleotide ribosomal RNA is filed under the name uncultured bacterium. RNAcentral's name for it is "partial 16S ribosomal RNA". It matches the Rfam family "Bacterial small subunit ribosomal RNA", at positions 1294 to 1500 of the family's 1533-position model. The record is from RNAcentral.